RNAcentral lists this ribosomal RNA (575 nucleotides) under uncultured bacterium. Its description in RNAcentral is "partial 16S ribosomal RNA". It matches the Rfam family "Bacterial small subunit ribosomal RNA", at positions 355 to 923 of the family's 1533-position model. The record is from RNAcentral.
UGGGGAAUUUUGGACAAUAGGCGAAAGCCUGAUCCAGCAAUGCCGCGUGUGUGAAGAAGGCCUUCGGGUUGUAAAGCACUUUUGUCCGGAAAGAAAUCCUUGGCUCUAAUACAGUCGGGGGAUGACGGUACCGGAAGAAUAAGCACCGGCUAACUACGUGCCAGCAGCCGCGGUAAUACGUAGGGUGCAAGCGUUAAUCGGAAUUACUGGGCGUAAAGCGUGCGCAGGCGGUUUGCUAAGACCGAUGUGAAAUCCCCGGGCUCAACCUGGGAACUGCAUUGGUGACUGGCAGGCUAGAGUAUGGCAGAGGGGGGUAGAAUUCCACGUGUAGCAGUGAAAUGCGUAGAGAUGUGGAGGAAUACCGAUGGCGAAGGCAGCCCCCUGGGCCAAUACUGACGCUCAUGCACGAAAGCGUGGGGAGCAAACAGGAUUAGAUACCCCGGUAGUCCACGCCCUAAACGAUGUCAACUAGUUGUUGGGGAUUCAUUUCCUUAGUAACGUAGCUAACGCGUGAAGUUGACCGCCUGGGGAGUACGGUCGCAAGAUUAAAACUCAAAUGAAUUGACGGGGUCAUA